UUUUGAACCAAAAGUACUGUGUUCGGCCGAUAAAAAUUGCGCCUGCAUUUUCUUUAAUAAAUUUCUUUUUAUCAUUCUAAACUUUUUUCAUAUAGAGAGACGAGGACAUUUGAUCUGCCAACUGAAGUACGUACUCCAAAUUCAGUAAAAAUAAAGUCGUAAUUAGCCUUAGCUAUUUGGUCUUCAUAUGUUAGCCAUGAAUAAAUAGACCUGCAGACACACGGGACCAAGCAAAAAAUCAUGCAUUAUAAGUUAGGGAGAAAAAGUAAGGGCAAAAUAGAUCGGUAGACUUUUAUAUUUGGCCUGGUUUGUAAAGUGGAUAUUUCUACUUAGCAAUUUAUCAUUGAACCCUUCAACUCAAUAAAACUCAAUAUUUUAAACCCCUCUAAUGGUGUGUGUAACACAACUGCCCCACGUCAGCUUCCACGUUAUUUUUAAGUAUUACAUUAAAUUUCAUGUCCCACGUCAUCUUCCACGUCAUUUUUAAGUAUUACAUUAAAUUUCAUAUCAUUUUUAAAAUGCUACAUAAAAAAAUAAAUAUUAAAAUAAAUUUUAUUCAAUAAAAAAAAUAAUAAAUUGUAGAAAUUGUAAUGUACAAACACAAUAAAUUUUUAAUUCAAAUUAAUUUAAAUUUUCAACUAUAAAUUCUGAACACAAAGACAAUAAAUUUUUAAUUAAUUAAACAUCAAAUUUAUUUUAAAUAAUUAAAAUUUCUCUUCAAUUAAUUUAAAGUUUUAACUCUAAAUUCACACGCACAAACAUAACGAAUUUUCAAUUUUGAUAUUUUUUUUAUCAUAUUUACAUUAAAGCAAUUAAAAAAUAAUUAAAAAAAUAAAACAAAAGUCACCGGCCCACCUCCCCCUCCCCAGCAUCAUUGCAAACCCCAUUUCCUCACCUGACGGUACCUUUCCUUUUUCCAUUACCCUUUUUCUCUACUUUUCUCGAAAAUAGAACACUUAAUUCAAUCCAAAAUUAAUUUCAGUUCACAUCCUAAAUGCAUCUUAAAUUUUAUUGCCACACAAAUCUUGAAAUUCACUAAAAGUGUGUUCACUUUGAAGCAGCAGCUUGAAAAACGAGCUUGGAAAUGGGCAAGAAAUGGGAACUAAAAUAGUUCACGUAAUGAAUUUUCAAUUUUCAUCUUAAUGAAUUUCUUUAAAAAAAAAAAAAAAGUAAAAUGAUGGGGGCUGUUGGGGAUGGGGGAAGGAGAGUGAGGAAAAUAGAUCGAGCAGCCAUGGGAACUAACCUCAAUUUAAAAAUAAGGGGGAGGGGGCACUGCAGUGGUGCUGGUGGGGCGCUCUAUUGUUGAUGGCCAUGGCAGCGUUGG
Molecule: long non-coding RNA, 1324 nt
Filed under: Capsicum annuum
Lineage: Eukaryota; Viridiplantae; Streptophyta; Magnoliopsida; Solanales; Solanaceae
Description: long non-coding RNA (CANN_LNC013306)
Source: RNAcentral